This 482-nucleotide RNase P RNA is filed under the name Candidatus Wirthbacteria bacterium CG2_30_54_11. RNAcentral describes it as "RNase P RNA component class A". It matches the Rfam family "Bacterial RNase P class A". From Rfam's summary of the family: Ribonuclease P (RNase P) is a ubiquitous endoribonuclease, found in archaea, bacteria and eukarya as well as chloroplasts and mitochondria. Its best characterised activity is the generation of mature 5'-ends of tRNAs by cleaving the 5'-leader elements of precursor-tRNAs. Lineage: Bacteria; Candidatus Wirthbacteria. The record is from RNAcentral.
ACAGCCACACGAGGGCUUGCCCUCCGUAGCUCGAACCUCGUGAGAGCGAAGGAGGGAGGAAAGUCCGAGCUCCGCAGAGCAGAAAAGCAGCUAACAGCUGCCGGAUGGCCAAAGCUCAGAGCUCACCGCUCAAAGCUCAAAGCUAUUCAGGGAAAGUGCCACAGAAACAAACCGCUCCUGAGCGAAGCCCUGAGCAAAGCCGAAAGGCGGAGUCGAAGGGCGGAGUCGAAGGAGUAAGGGUGAAACAGUGAGGUAAGAGCUCACUAUCCCCAGGCGCAAGUCUGGGGAUGGGUAAACCCUUUUUGGAGCAAGUUCCGAUGGCUGCGUACGGCUAUACUUCUGCUCGAAGGGCCGUAGGCAAGCGGAACGCUGGAGCCCUGGUGUGAACCGGGGACUAGAGAGAUGAUCGCGCCCCGCCCUGAGCGAGGCCGCCGAGUCGAAGGGCGGGGGGUACAGAACUCGGCUUAUAUGAGUCUCUCGAG